AACACUCUGAGGUUUCCUUGGAACAAUACCUUGAGGAAAAGAAAGAGAGAGAACAGAGAAGGACGGAUAGAAACUUUGGCAUAGGAACCCUGCCUACCCGGAGAAUUCAGAGUAAAGAAACCCUGAAGGCAGCCCAUCUGCACCGAAGCCAUCGCCGUCCAAUUCCCGCUGCCUAACUUAUUCCGAUACUACAAGUGGUCAAUCCCUUCAACCUUGAAUUGGCAAACAGGUUUGCGUAUCUCUAUUGUUUAUACUUUCAAUUGGCCAUAUCUACAUAUAUAAUGUAUCAUGAUUAAAUGUUGAUAUAUAAUUUGCUUUCGUAUGGGAAUCUAAAUACGCCUGAAUACCCU
This 350-nucleotide long non-coding RNA is filed under the name Lathyrus oleraceus (garden pea). RNAcentral describes it as "Pisum sativum (pea) long non-coding RNA (PSAT_LNC009284)". Lineage: Eukaryota; Viridiplantae; Streptophyta; Magnoliopsida; Fabales; Fabaceae. The record is from RNAcentral.